RNAcentral lists this ribosomal RNA (254 nucleotides) under uncultured bacterium. Its description in RNAcentral is "partial 16S ribosomal RNA". It matches the Rfam family "Bacterial small subunit ribosomal RNA", at positions 524 to 776 of the family's 1533-position model. The record is from RNAcentral.
UACGAAGGGGGGCUAGCGUUGCUCGGAAUUACUGGGCGUAAAGGGCGCGUAGGCGGCACUGUUAGUCAGGCGUGAAAGUCCUGGGCUCAACCUGGGAACUGCGCUUGAUACGGCAGAGCUAGAGGAUGGAAGAGGGUCGCGGAAUUCCCAGUGUAGAGGUGAAAUUCGUAGAUAUUGGGAAGAACACCGGUGGCGAAGGCGGCGACCUGGUCCAUUACUGACGCUGAGGCGCGACAGCGUGGGGAGCAAACAGG